UGAAUAUAAAGAAAAGAACGGGCAGAUGAGUUUAUAUAGUUACAGAGCGGAUCCAAUUAUUACUUUUUGAAAAGUAAUAUGAGGAGUUCAAGAAAUCGAGGCAUGACAUUUAUUCUGACCGAACUGCUAGUCUUAAUCCAGAAGACAAGGACACAAGGGCCACCAACAGAUGAAAACAAUGUAAGUGAUUACACGAGCACAUAUUUAAUUCAUCUUGUAUAGAAUCUGUUUUUUUUUACGGGUUGUAUAGAAUCUGUUAGUUUAGACAUAAUUUUUCUUUUUGUCACGGGUAUCUAUUGAUACAAAAAAUUGGGAUAUCUUAAUACUGGAGAAAGGGAGAUAACAGUGGAGAGGCGGCUUAUAAUCUAUAUCUAUACCUAAUAAUAAAGCGGCUAUUGCUUUCGUCGGAAAACCCAUCACGACAUUUUUAUAAAAAAGCCCCUGUAAUUUUUGUUAUUCAACCCGCGCUCCAUCAUUUAUCUGCAACGCAAAAGGAAAAAAAUGAUUCGCUGCAAAAAUUAUAUCCGUACGCAUCGCCUCCUCCCGUCGACCCUGGGCCACCCUGGCCUGUGCCCAAGCCGCCGCCACACCACUCGCCGCUGCGGCCGACCUCAACCGCCACCGUUGCCGAUCUCAACCCACCCGCCUCCGCGGCUAUACCUCUCCCCGCUCACUGCCCCCGUUGCGGCGCUCGAGCGCAUCGCAUCGACCCUGGUCCACCCUGGCCUGUGCCCAGGCCGCUGCCACACCACUCGACGCCGCGGCCGACCUCAACCACCACUACUGUCGAUCUCAACCCGCCCGCCUCCGCGGCCGUACCUCUGCCCGCUUGUUGCCCCUGUUUCGGCGCUCGAGCAGAGCUUCUGGAUCAAAUCAACACGACAGCUACAAUGACUUAGAUGAUGCGUCUGCUCGAUGCAGAACGGCGGCGGCGCGCGGAUAAGGCGCGGCGGAGCGAAGUACUUGCAGGUGGAGGCGGACCUCCAUGGCUCAUACGGGGAACUCCGAGGUUAUGUCGCGGCAACGGCGACUCCUUAUGGCCAGAUAGAGGCGCCUAACCCUUGAUCCCGUCAUCGUAUCCCCUCCUCCGGCAGGAACUCAUCAUCUGGUGAGAUCCCCCCCUCCCCAUGCCUCCAACCGUGUGCCAAGCACCGGCAAGAAAUUUUGUUUUGUGGGAAUUUGUUUGCUGAUGAAUGAAUGUAUUGAAUGUAAGAUUGCAUUGUUGUAGAGAGAGAGAAUGGAACACCACCUUCAGUUUGUCAUCUCAUCCCACAUUCUCUACCCCAUGAGUGAAAUAAGAUAACAGUCCCUUGAUCAAUUCACGUAGCCUCUUUGUUUUACUUUGCUUGUUCCGCUCAAUUUCUCAUCAUGGUGAAAUUGACAAUGGAUGGGUUAAUUUCUCAACAAAAUAGGAUAGGACAGACUACAUUAGUUAGUUAGCUUAUUAUUUUAAUAAAUCAAAAUGAUUAUAAAAGAUUAAAAGCGUGUGGUGUUUUUUUCUCCCGUUGCAACGCACGGGCCCUUUUGCUAGUAGAAGUAAAUAAAGUUAGAUUUUUUUAUUAAAGGUGGUAUGUAGCAAUUAUUUGAUAUGAAAAUUGUGUUCAAUGGACUUUAUAUAUUUAUUGGGAACGUUUGUUAUAAACAUAUAUUGAUUACUAUUUUUAUAUUAACAUCAAGAAGCCCCCGGUUAUAGUUUCGUCCAGGGCCGGGGCCUGCGAAAUCUUAGGGCGGGCCCUGGUAAAACGUGAAUGGGUGUGGCGCCUAAGAGUACGGCGCCACACUACAUGUGUCAUGCCUUUGUGUCAGGCCCACACAAAAGGUUAGACGGGUAAAUUUGUUUCGAACAUAGAUCAUUUUGUGAUUUUUUUUAUUUUUUUUGCAUACAGGUCAACUACGCUCAUUUUGCCGCUAGUGCAUGGCGUGAAAGCAAACCAACCCACGAAACUCUGCUGCGGCUAUUGACAGUCAGAACAGAGGCAGCUGCCACUUUGGUUGGGUUCGCGUCCUUG
Molecule: long non-coding RNA, 2009 nt
Filed under: Hordeum vulgare
Lineage: Eukaryota; Viridiplantae; Streptophyta; Magnoliopsida; Poales; Poaceae
Description: long non-coding RNA (HVUL_LNC017770)
Source: RNAcentral